UAUCCUUUUCAGAUGCUCCAGGUAGGGU
This 28-nucleotide small RNA is filed under the name Bombyx mori (domestic silkworm). RNAcentral's name for it is "ovarian small RNA-6581". Lineage: Eukaryota; Metazoa; Arthropoda; Insecta; Lepidoptera; Bombycidae. The record is from RNAcentral.